Molecule: ribosomal RNA, 497 nt
Filed under: uncultured bacterium
Lineage: Bacteria
Description: partial 16S ribosomal RNA
Rfam family: Bacterial small subunit ribosomal RNA
Source: RNAcentral
GAUGAACGCUGGCGGCGUGCCUAAUACAUGCAAGUCGAGCGAACAGAUGAGGAGCUUGCUCCUCUGACGUUAGCGGCGGACGGGUGAGUAACACGUGGAUAACCUACCUAUAAGACUGGGAUAACUUCGGGAAACCGGAGCUAAUACCGGAUAAUAUAUUGAACCGCAUGGUUCAAUAGUGAAAGACGGUUUUGCUGUCACUUAUAGAUGGAUCCGCGCCGCAUUAGCUAGUUGGUAAGGUAACGGCUUACCAAGGCAACGAUGCGUAGCCGACCUGAGAGGGGGAUCGGCCACACUGGAACUGAGACAGGGUCAAGACUCCUACGGGAGGCAGCAGUAGGGAAUCUUCCGCAAUGGGCGAAAGCCUGACGGAGCAAGGCCGCGUGAGUGAUGAAGGUCUUCGGAUCGUAAAACUCUGUUAUGAGGGAAGAACAAAUGUGUAAGUAACUAUGCACGUCUUGACGGUACCUAAUCAGAAAGCCACGGCUAACUACGUG